RNAcentral lists this ribosomal RNA (145 nucleotides) under uncultured eukaryote. Its description in RNAcentral is "partial 18S ribosomal RNA". It matches the Rfam family "Eukaryotic small subunit ribosomal RNA", at positions 1299 to 1458 of the family's 1831-position model. The record is from RNAcentral.
UGGUGGAGUGAUUUGUCAGGUUAAUUCCGAUAACGAACGAGACCUUUAUCUGCUAAAUAGCUGGGCCAAUCUUUUAGAUUGUGCUGCAAUAGGCUUCUUAGAGAGACUAUUGACGUUUAGUCAAUGGAAGUUGAAGGCAAUAACA